This 393-nucleotide ribosomal RNA is filed under the name uncultured bacterium. RNAcentral's name for it is "bacterial SSU rRNA". It matches the Rfam family "Bacterial small subunit ribosomal RNA", at positions 30 to 426 of the family's 1533-position model. The record is from RNAcentral.
AUUGAACGCUGGCGGCAUGCCUUACACAUGCAAGUCGAACGGCAGCACGGGAGCAAUCCUGGUGGCGAGUGGCGAACGGGUGAGUAAUAUAUCGGAACGUGCCCAGUCGUGGGGAUAACGUAGCGAAAGUUACGCUAAUACCGCAUACGAUCUAUGGAUGAAAGCGGGGGAUCGCAAGACCUCGCGCGAUUGGAGCGGCCGAUAUCAGAUUAGGUAGUUGGUGAGGUAAAGGCUCACCAAGCCGACGAUCUGUAGCUGGUCUGAGAGGACGACCAGCCACACUGGGACUGAGACACGGCCCAGACUCCGUACGGGAGGCAGCAGUGGGGAUUUGGACAAUGGGCGCAAGCCUGAUCCAGCAAUGCCGCGUGCAGGAUGAAGGCCUUCGGUUGU